AAUUCGAUUAGAGUUUGAUCAUGGCUCAGGAUGAACGCUGGCGGCGUGCUUAACACAUGCAAGUCGAACGAACCUUCGGGUUAGUGGCGGACGGGUGAGUAACGCGUGAGAAUCUGCCCUCAGGAGGGGGAUAACGGUUGGAAACGACCGCUAAUACCCCAUAUGCCGAGAGGUGAAAUGAAUUUCGCCUGAGGAUGAGCUCGCGUCUGAUUAGUUAGUUGGUGGGGUAAUGGCCUACCAAGACAUCGAUCAGUAGCCGGUCUGAGAGGAUGAUCAGCCACACUGGGACUGAGACACGGCCCAGACUCCUACGGGAGGCAGCAGUGGGGAAUUUUCCGCAAUGGGCGAAAGCCUGACGGAGCAACGCCGCGUGAGGGAUGAAGGCCUCUGGGCUGUAAACCUCUUUUAUCAAGGAAGAAGAUCUGACGGUACUUGAUGAAUAAGCCACGGCUAAUUCCGUGCCAGCAGCCGCGGUAAUACGGGAGUGGCAAGCGUUAUCCGGAAUUAUUGGGCGUAAAGCGUCCGCAGGCGGUCUGUCAAGUCUGCUGUUAAAGCGUGGAGCUUAACUCCAUUUCGGCAGUGGAAACUGACAGACUAGAGUGUGGUAGGGGCAGAGGGAAUUCCCGGUGUAGCGGUGAAAUGCGUAGAUAUCGGGAAGAACACCAGUGGCGAAGGCGCUCUGCUAGGCCAUAACUGACGCUCAUGGACGAAAGCCAGGGGAGCGAAAGGGAUUAGAUACCCCUGUAGUCCUGGCCGUAAACGAUGAACACUAGGUGUCGGGGGAAUCGACCCCCUCGGUGUCGUAGCCAACGCGUUAAGUGUUCCGCCUGGGGAGUACGCACGCAAGUGUGAAGCUCAAAGGAAUUGACGGGGGCCCGCACAAGCGGUGGAGUAUGUGGUUUAAUUCGAUGCAACGCGAAGAACCUUACCAGGGUUUGACAUCCUGCGAAUCUCUUGGAAACGAGAGAGUGCCUUCGGGAACGCAGUGACAGGUGGUGCAUGGCUGUCGUCAGCUCGUGUCGUGAGAUGUUGGGUUAAGUCCCGCAACGAGCGCAACCCACGUCGUUAGUUGCCAGCAUUUAGUUGGGCACUCUAGCGAGACCGCCGGUGAUAAACCGGAGGAAGGUGUGGAUGACGUCAAGUCAUCAUGCCCCUUACAUCCUGGGCUACACACGUACUACAAUGCUACGGACAAAGGGCAGCAAACUCGCGAGAGCUAGCAAAUCCCAUAAACCGUGGCUCAGUUCAGAUCGUAGGCUGCAACUCGCCUACGUGAAGGAGGAAUCGCUAGUAAUCGCAGGUCAGCAUACUGCGGUGAAUACGUUCCCGGGCCUUGUAGACA
Molecule: ribosomal RNA, 1342 nt
Filed under: uncultured bacterium
Lineage: Bacteria
Description: bacterial SSU rRNA
Rfam family: Bacterial small subunit ribosomal RNA
Source: RNAcentral